UACAGAGGGGGCGAGCGUUGUUCGGAAUUACUGGGCGUAAAGGGCGCGUAGGCGGCCUGCUAAGUCAUACGUGAAAUCCCUCGGCUCAACCGGGGAACUGCGUGUGAUACUGGCGGGCUUGAAUUCGGGAGAGGGAUGCGGAAUUCCAGGUGUAGCGGUGAAAUGCGUAGAUAUCUGGAGGAACACCGGUGGCGAAGGCGACAUCCUGGACCGGUAUUGACGCUGAGGCGCGAAAGCCAGGGGAGCAAACGGG
RNAcentral lists this ribosomal RNA (253 nucleotides) under uncultured bacterium. RNAcentral describes it as "partial 16S ribosomal RNA". It matches the Rfam family "Bacterial small subunit ribosomal RNA", at positions 524 to 776 of the family's 1533-position model. The record is from RNAcentral.